Lagenorhynchus albirostris (white-beaked dolphin) is the source of this 656-nucleotide long non-coding RNA. RefSeq lists it as uncharacterized. The record is from RefSeq and is a predicted model, not a curated record. NCBI's taxonomy places the organism in Eukaryota, Metazoa, Chordata, Mammalia, Artiodactyla, Delphinidae. The transcript has 3 exons.
ACGGCUGGGCGGGGACAACUUCUUCCAGGGAGCAUGGCUGGGCAUCGGCUCUGAGAAGGUGGCACUUGUCACCCCAGAUGUCACUUAGAUUAACUCGGAAAAGGGCGCUUUUUUUUUGCCUUUGAAUUUUCAUUCAAACUUUAGUCUCUUUGGAUUUCCCUUUUCUCUUAGGUUAUGGAUGAAAAAUUGACCUCUCAAAGAUUCCCUUGCGACUGUGAGCCCCCAGAGAGCAAGACAGACAUGAAAUACCCUGUUGACCAGAUGACAGACGGGCACCUAUUGACCUGACCUCGGCCAUGCCUCCGUCCCUCACGUUACCAGAAAUAAGAAACAUCCCUAUGUUGCUGAACAACUCACCAGAGGAAUUUUAUUUUCACAAGCGAGAAGGAGCAGAGUCACGGCUCCAUCUGACAAAGUACACCUGUGCUGAGACGGAGUCAGCGCCCCACGCCCUGGGCCAGACAGUUCACGGGAGACGCCACUGAAUGUCCUCGGGGCUCCUUGUGAAAUGAUAAAUGGCACAUUUGGGGGGUUUAUUUUCUAUCAUCGUGCCUACAAUUUAUUGAGCAUCUCCCGCGAGCUAAAUCCGUGACGUCUGUUUCCUCUUGUGAACGAGCAAGCCAACAUGGAGGGAGGUGUUGUUAGCAUCCCCCUUG